RNAcentral lists this transfer RNA (85 nucleotides) under Felis catus (domestic cat). It matches the Rfam family "tRNA". Rfam says of the family: Transfer RNA (tRNA) molecules are approximately 80 nucleotides in length. Their secondary structure includes four short double-helical elements and three loops (D, anti-codon, and T loops). Further hydrogen bonds mediate the characteristic L-shaped molecular structure. tRNAs have two regions of fundamental functional importance: the anti-codon, which is responsible for specific mRNA codon recognition, and the 3' end, to which the tRNAs corresponding amino acid is attached (by aminoacyl-tRNA synthetases). tRNAs cope with the degeneracy of the genetic code in two manners: having more than one tRNA (with a specific anti-codon) for a particular amino acid; and 'wobble' base-pairing, i.e. permitting non-standard base-pairing at the 3rd anti-codon position. Lineage: Eukaryota; Metazoa; Chordata; Mammalia; Carnivora; Felidae. The record is from Rfam by way of RNAcentral. RNAcentral also lists the same sequence under 1 other name.
GCCUGGGUGGCUGAGUUGGUUAAGCAUCCGACUGUGGCUCAGGUCAUGAUCUCAUGGUUUAUGAGUUCGAGCCCCACCUCGGGCU